CAAAUCGGCAGCGUUGUCGCCCGCCAAAACCUCGAGCCUAGCGAGAGGUGCCGGCGGGAGGAAAGUCCGAACACUCAUUUGCCUUUGGCGAAUAAAAUGGUAGCGGGUAACGCCCGUCGAUUGGCUUAAUUUAUUAUGUCAAUCAGAGGUGCGAGCAGAGACGAUUGUUUUUGAAAAAAAACAUUCACCCCGAGAGUAAUCAAGGGGUGCAGCUCAGUAGUAAUACUGAGAGUGAAACGGCUAAAUCCUUACUUGAGUGCAAGAGCAAGAUUUCCAUUGCUUGCAAUGGGAUAUGGUAGCUCGCUUGAACCGGCCAGCAAUGACCGGGCCAGAUAGAUGACAACUAAAACAGAAUUCGGCUUACUCGCCGGUUUGGAGC
Molecule: RNase P RNA, 379 nt
Filed under: Candidatus Falkowiibacteriota bacterium
Lineage: Bacteria; Candidatus Falkowiibacteriota
Description: RNase P RNA component class A
Rfam family: Bacterial RNase P class A
About the family: Ribonuclease P (RNase P) is a ubiquitous endoribonuclease, found in archaea, bacteria and eukarya as well as chloroplasts and mitochondria.
Source: RNAcentral